Molecule: ribosomal RNA, 273 nt
Filed under: uncultured Ascomycota
Lineage: Eukaryota; Fungi; Ascomycota
Description: partial 18S ribosomal RNA
Rfam family: Eukaryotic small subunit ribosomal RNA
Source: RNAcentral
UUGGAGGGCAAGUCUGGUGCCAGCAGCCGCGGUAAUUCCAGCUCCAAUAGCGUAUAUUAAAGUUGUUGUGGUUAAAAAGCUCGUAGUUGAACCUUGGGCCUGGCUGGCCGGUCCGCCUCACCGCGUGUACUGGUCCGGCCGGGCCUUUCCCUCUGUGGAACCCCAUGCCCUUCACUGGGUGUGGCGGGGAAACAGGACUUUUACNGUGAAAAAAUUAGAGUGCUCCAGGCAGGCCUAUGCUCGAAUACAUUAGCAUGGAAUAAUAGAAUAGGA